This 766-nucleotide ribosomal RNA is filed under the name Staphylococcus epidermidis. RNAcentral's name for it is "bacterial SSU rRNA". It matches the Rfam family "Bacterial small subunit ribosomal RNA", at positions 28 to 776 of the family's 1533-position model. Lineage: Bacteria; Bacillati; Bacillota; Bacilli; Caryophanales; Staphylococcaceae. The record is from RNAcentral.
GAUGAACGCUGGCGGCGUGCCUAAUACAUGCAAGUCGAGCGAACAGACGAGGAGCUUGCUCCUUUGACGUUAGCGGCGGACGGGUGAGUAACACGUGGAUAACCUACCUAUAAGACUGGGAUAACUUCGGGAAACCGGAGCUAAUACCGGAUAACAUGUUGAACCGCAUGGUUCAACAGUGAAAGACGGUCUUGCUGUCACUUAUAGAUGGAUCCGCGCCGCAUUAGCUAGUUGGUAAGGUAACGGCUUACCAAGGCAACGAUGCGUAGCCGACCUGAGAGGGUGAUCGGCCACACUGGAACUGAGACACGGUCCAGACUCCUACGGGAGGCAGCAGUAGGGAAUCUUCCGCAAUGGGCGAAAGCCUGACGGAGCAACGCCGCGUGAGUGAAGAAGGUCUUCGGAUCGUAAAACUCUGUUAUUAGGGGAGAACAAAUGUGUAAGUAACUAUGCACGUCUUGACGGUACCUAAUCAGAAAGCCACGGCUAACUACGUGCCAGCAGCCGCGGUAAUACGUAGGUGGCAAGCGUUAUCCGGAAUUAUUGGGCGUAAAGCGCGCGUAGGCGGUUUUUUAAGUCUGAUGUGAAAGCCCACGGCUCAACCGUGGAGGGUCAUUGGAAACUGGAAAACUUGAGUGCAGAAGAGGAAAGUGGAAUUCCAUGUGUAGCGGUGAAAUGCGCAGAGAUAUGGAGGAACACCAGUGGCGAAGGCGACUUCCUGGUCUGUAACUGACGCUGAUGUGCGAAAGCGUGGGGAUCAAACAGG